AGAUGUGCUUUAGUUCUGAGACAGAGCUUGGAGGGGGAACUGUAGAUGCAGGAAAACUCUCCUUGGCAACAUAAAAAGCCUCUGUCCAGUGUGCACAAUCUUCUCUUGCUGAACUUAAUGGCCUGAGAAGUGCACAGCACAGUAAUAUUUUGUUGCUUCAACUCCUAAUACACUAGCUGAAAAAAAAAGUUUUUAUUGAUAUGUUUUGUUCCUUGUAAAGUGUUUUAUGCUCAUGUUAGAAAGUUUUAUUUUUUUCAGAGGGGACCAAAUUCAUUAGGUACCAGCUGCUUUCACCCAGCUCCUCUUGGACACAUGCCAUUUCUAAAACCUUGGUAUGAAUCUUCAGAUUAAUUCUACUGGGUGUUGUGUCACAUCCUUUAUUUACCACAGCACUGUACUUACAAAGGUGAACUGAAUAUCUCAAAAAGAAGCACAAAGAUCAGGCUGCAUCAGACUCUGCUCCAGCACACCUGCAGCAAACCUUCCUCUCACAACACAAGGCAAAAAGAGACUGGCAUGGGAGUUCAGAUAGACAGCUGGCUCUCCAGGGUGCAUUCAGAGUAUAAGGGCAAAUCAUUGCACAAGUUACAUCCCUUGAAUGUAAUGUGGCCCAGAGACCCAGAGGAAUGAUCUCUCAAAUCAACUUAUGCUUAAAGUGUAGAUUCAGCAUUUCUUCCCUGUUCCUACCCAUGCUCAGCAAGCCUAAAAUAAAACUUGCACCCUCCCCCCACCCUGUCUGUCUACCUGGCAUUACUUUCUCCAUGAAAAGAUCAGGAAAUAAGGCAAAGGACUCCCAUUUACAGGACAUGCUGGGACUAAGACUCCCCCUUUAGCAGAGCCUGUUGGACAUUACCUACAUCCCACCUCCUGAUUUUAGUAAAUUAGUUUAGUCCCUGUCCUUGAGCUACUGCUCUAUCUGUGAACACAAACUCCUACAGGAAUAGCUUUAUGGGUAAACUUCCCCCUCAGCUUUUGUUCCCAAAACCCUUGCUUAUAAGUCCCCCCUGGGAACAGUCGCUGUGCUGCAUCCCAUUCAGGCUGUGCUUUUGAAAUAUUCCCCACAGGAAAGGCAGAAGUAGCUCCUCGCUGAUGGUCUUUUGAAAAGCAAGAGGAAACACUUCAAGGGAAGUCAGUGAGGUCAACAAAAACCAGCAGCGAUAGUAGUCUCUCACAAAUAAGCAAGAAUGUAAUGCAGAAAGUUCUUCUGCAGAAUUUUCCAGAAGUAAAAUAAAUUGGAAGACAGAAGUGGAUGUAGUUCCCAUAGCAAAUCAAUGAUGUAAAACAUUUAAAUAUUUAACCAAAAUUUCAGCAGCUUAUGAGCUAUCAGGGAAGCUCUUUAUUAUGAAAUUUUGACAUUAAUUUGCUCCCUAAAAUACUGAGAUGUUAAAUGCAAAAUGCACUGCAUCAGUUAUGCACCAAGGGUUAAGAAAGUAACUGUUUAGCAGAGACUGCUGACCUUCUUUUCCCUUCUUCUAACAGUCUUCCUGGGAUGAAUAUCAGUCAAUUAAAGAGGAGAUCUGCACUGUGUCCUUAACACAAGUUAUAACCUAGGUGCUAUUGGACAAUCAGCGAACAGGAAGAAUGGUCAGGCAGGGCACAGCAAUUGGCCUGACACAGCAUCUGACCUGGGACAGAGGUCAGAUCAUAACUGAGCUCACUCACACUAGAGUGAGCUGUUAUGCCAUCAUGAGAACCGGUCUGAACUGCGUCAUUUCAAAGACAGCCAGCUGAGUUUGAGGAUGUUUCUCUGGCACCCCAGAGACUCCAGCAUCUCAAAUAUGGUAUUUGAAUACAAGAUUAUGUCACCCAUUAUGCACACAUUGGCUAAUGUUCAAGCUGUUGAGAAGUAAGAGCAACUUGUUCCCAUUGGCCUUCCUGUAUGAGCUGCUGAAUUACUCACCAUCAUUUUUACAGAAAGCAGUAAAAUUAUAUUUAUGACUACUACAUAAAAUUCAAACAAGACCUUUAUUUACAUUAGGUUUUCAAGCAGUGGGUGUUGCAACAUACAUAACAAAAUUUCAUACUACAUUUUUUAUAGGUAAUCAGGUUGAAAAUCUGAUCUACAGAAUCAAUUUGUCAAAACUGGCUAAGCAGAAAAUGUGUUAACUUGGCUUAAGAGUACUCUGUCAAUUUUACAUAAUUUUCUAUCGUUCAGAGUAUUUCUGAUGUCCUGGUUAUAAAAACAGAAUGUUCAUGCAGGUUAAUUUACAGUGAACUCUCUAGUAAAUUUUGCGUUCUUCACUUGUUCAGAAGAGCAUGUCACUACUCUUCCCACCUUGUCUCACAAAGCAAUUACGAGUCCAAAUAGGGAGAAAACUUGAUCAGGAGAUUUUUAACAAAAACAACAAAAAAAAUAAAAAAGAACUUUCAUUUUGUGGCUAACUGAAUUAGAAUCUCUCAUUCUGUAGAAAACAAGUUGUACUGUAAAGAUUAAGCAGGUUCUUUUAUUUCAUAUUAACAUUACGCAGCAACCAAUAUGAGUGUCUAGGUAAACAGAGACUUUGUGAAAUGUUUUGCUGCAAAGCUGACCAGUAAUGCACACAAAUGAUAAAGUCAUCAACUCUGCUUAUUGCCAGAAAUAAAAAAAAAAGGCUUCAGGAGCAAAUAACACUGAU
Long non-coding RNA from Passer domesticus (house sparrow), 2615 nucleotides. RefSeq lists it as uncharacterized. The record is from RefSeq and is a predicted model, not a curated record. The transcript is spliced from 3 exons. NCBI's taxonomy places the organism in Eukaryota, Metazoa, Chordata, Aves, Passeriformes, Passeridae.